Molecule: non-coding RNA, 22 nt
Filed under: Mus musculus (house mouse)
Lineage: Eukaryota; Metazoa; Chordata; Mammalia; Rodentia; Muridae
Source: RNAcentral
GGUUAUUGCCCAGGCGCUUGCA